Cicer arietinum (chickpea) is the source of this 395-nucleotide non-coding RNA. The record is from RefSeq and is a predicted model, not a curated record. Lineage: Eukaryota; Viridiplantae; Streptophyta; Magnoliopsida; Fabales; Fabaceae.
GGAUCUGUUCUGAAGUUCCUCACCAAGUGAACUGUGUGUUGCUUCUAAUUUUGAAGACUGCUUGUUUCCAGUUAAGAAAAUAGUUGCUUUGGUGAUAUGCUCUAAUUGAGCCAGAUGUAAUGAAGAAAAAAGUAAAAAGUGUUAUCCUCUUUCAACACAAGUCUCUUCUAGUUCCAUGCUUCUCAUGACCUCAAAUUUUUCACAAAUUUUAAGCAUAGGAAGAAAAACAGCAUCUAUAAGAGUGGAAAGAAUGACUGAACCUCUACAAGCUGCAUAUUCUACUGCAUCAGUGUCACAAAUUACACUUUCCAGCUUGUGCAUUGAGUAUUAAAGAAGUGACUUGGUGCAAGAUACAUGAAUGAAAGUUAUUAGAGAAGAUUGAGGAUUUUCAAGAA